Gorilla gorilla gorilla (western lowland gorilla) is the source of this 968-nucleotide long non-coding RNA. RefSeq lists it as uncharacterized. The transcript has 5 exons. Lineage: Eukaryota; Metazoa; Chordata; Mammalia; Primates; Hominidae. The record is from RefSeq and is a predicted model, not a curated record.
CAUGUCUUCAGUGUUUUAUAGAUGUGCUCACAGGUAAUCUAAACAAGAACUCUACAAGAGAGGUAUCCAGAGCCCCAUUUUAUAGAUAAGGAAAUUGAGGCUCAGAGAGGACAAGCGACUUGGCUAAGCUCCUGCAGCUGGAAGUCUUUGGUGGUCUGGCUGGAUGGAGCCAAGGUUUUGGAGGCAGCCUGGAGCAAGAGACAAUGCCUGAGAAUUGCCUUCAGAAGACCCAUUUUAAAUCUUGGCUGUACCACUUACCAAAAGAACACACACACUAACCCACUGUGCCUCAGUUUCCUCCUGUACAAAAUGGAGAUAAAAAUAGCAUCUACCUGAGUUGGGGGCUGCAUCUGACAAGUGGCUGUGGUUUCAAGUCUCUGGAGUCCCAUUUUUUUCUCUUCCAUGGAGUUUGUUUGCUGCAGUUUGAGGAGCCGAGGCAUAUGAUAAAUACCAGGUGUCCUUAGAAGAAGAGGAGAUUGGGCCCCAGACACACAUGCACAGAAGAAAGACCACGUGAAGACAAAGGGAGAAGUCGGCGAUCUACAAAGCAAGGAAACAUCCUCAGAAUGAAACCAACCUUGCCAACCCCUGAUCCUAGACCUCCAGCCUCCACAACGGCCUUUGGACUCAGAUGGAAUUAUACCAUGGGGUUUCCUGGGUCUCCAGCAUGCAGAUGGCAGAUUGUGGAACUUCUCAGCCUCCAAAAUCGAGUGAGCCAAUUCCCAUCAUAAAUCCCCUCUCCUAUGUCUAAAUAUGUCCUAUUGCUUCUCUUUCUCUGGAGAAUGCUGACUAAUACAGACAUAAUACAGCAGUCUUUGGGGAUGAUGUAUGAGUAUGUGGAAGAAGAACUAGACAUGAAGCAGAGUGUGCUUUCUUUAACAUAACUUUUUCAUUAAAAUAGUUGUAUGUGCUUAGUACAAAAACUUGGAAAAUACAGAAAUGUAGUGGAAAAAGGAAGAAGAAAAACU